RNAcentral lists this non-coding RNA (31 nucleotides) under Mus musculus (house mouse). Lineage: Eukaryota; Metazoa; Chordata; Mammalia; Rodentia; Muridae. The record is from RNAcentral.
UGCAAGCCAUGGAAGCACCUUGAGUUCUUGA